AAUAUUUCACAAUGGGGGAAACCCUGAUGCAGCGACGCCGCGUGAGCGAAGAAGGCCNNNGGGUCNUAAAGCUCUUUCCUAAGNGAANAAACGAACGGUACCUUCGGAGGAAGCCCCGGCUAACCAACUGCCAGCAGCCGCGGUAAUACGUAGGGGGCGAGCGUUAUCCGGAAUUAUUGGGCGUAAAGGGUGCGUAGGCGGCCUUUUAAGUCAGAUGUGAAAGGCUGCGGCUUAACCGUAGUUAGCAUUUGAAACUAAAAGGCUUGAGUGCAGGAGAGGAGAGUGGAAUUCCUAGUGUAGCGGUGAAAUGCGUAGAUAUUAGGAGGAACACCAGUGGCGAAGGCGACUCUCUGGACUGCAACUGACGCUGAGGCACGAAAGCGUGGGGAGCGAACA
RNAcentral lists this ribosomal RNA (396 nucleotides) under uncultured bacterium. Its description in RNAcentral is "partial 16S ribosomal RNA". It matches the Rfam family "Bacterial small subunit ribosomal RNA", at positions 360 to 774 of the family's 1533-position model. The record is from RNAcentral.